UUCCUACGGGACGCAGCAGUGAGGAAUAUUGGUCAAUGGGCGGGAGCCUGAACCAGCCAAGCCGCGUGAGGGAAGAAGGUACAGCGUAUCGUAAACCUCUUUUGUCAGGGAACAAAGGCGGGGACUAGUCCCCGGAUGAGGGUACCCGGAGAAAAAGCAUCGGCUAACUCCGUGCCAGCAGCCGCGGUAAUACGGAGGAUGCGAGCGUUAUCCGGAUUUAUUGGGUUUAAAGGGUGCGCAGGCGGAAGCGCAAGUCAGCGGUAAAAUUGAGAGGCUCAACCUCUUCCCGCCGUUGAAACUGCGUU
RNAcentral lists this ribosomal RNA (305 nucleotides) under uncultured bacterium. RNAcentral's name for it is "bacterial SSU rRNA". It matches the Rfam family "Bacterial small subunit ribosomal RNA", at positions 336 to 639 of the family's 1533-position model. The record is from RNAcentral.